CAUUAGUUGUAACAGCAUGGAAAUGAG
This 27-nucleotide unclassified non-coding RNA is filed under the name Mus musculus (house mouse). RNAcentral's name for it is "oocyte_clustered_small_RNA1789". The record is from RNAcentral. Lineage: Eukaryota; Metazoa; Chordata; Mammalia; Rodentia; Muridae.